GCGGCGGACGGGUGAGUAACACGUGGGUAACCUACCUAUAAGACUGGAAUAACUCCGGGAAACCGGGGCUAAUGCCGGAUAACAUUUAGAACCGCAUGGUUCUAAAGUGAAAGAUGGUUUUGCUAUCACUUAUAGAUGGACCCGCGCCGUAUUAGCUAGUUGGUAAGGUAACGGCUUACCAAGGCAACGAUACGUAGCCGACCUGAGAGGGUGAUCGGCCACACUGGAACUGAGACACGGUCCAGACUCCUACGGGAGGCAGCAGUAGGGAAUCUUCCGCAAUGGGCGAAAGCCUGACGGAGCAACGCCGCGUGAGUGAUGAAGGUCUUCGGAUCGUAAAACUCUGUUAUUAGGGAAGAACAAAUGUGUAAGUAACUAUGCACGUCUUGACGGUACCUAAUCAGAAAGCCACGGCUAACUACGUGCCAGCAGCCGCGGUAAUACGUAGGUGGCAAGCGUUAUCCGGAAUUAUUGGGCGUAAAGCGCGCGUAGGCGGUUUCUUAAGUCUGAUGUGAAAGCCCACGGCUCAACCGUGGAGGGUCAUUGGAAACUGGGAAACUUGAGUGCAGAAGAGGAAAGUGGAAUUCCAUGUGUAGCGGUGAAAUGCGCAGAGAUAUGGAGGAACACCAGUGGCGAAGGCGACUUU
RNAcentral lists this ribosomal RNA (646 nucleotides) under Staphylococcus sp. R07-2-4. RNAcentral's name for it is "bacterial SSU rRNA". It matches the Rfam family "Bacterial small subunit ribosomal RNA", at positions 95 to 728 of the family's 1533-position model. The record is from RNAcentral. Lineage: Bacteria; Bacillati; Bacillota; Bacilli; Caryophanales; Staphylococcaceae.